ACGGGAGGCAGCAGUGGGGAAUAUUGGACAAUGGGGGAAACCCUGAUCCAGCGACGCCGCGUGAGUGAAGAAGUAUUUCGGUAUGUAAAGCUCUAUCAGCAAGGAAGAAAAUGACGGUACUUGACUAAGAAGCUCCGGCUAAAUACGUGCCAGCAGCCGCGGUAAUACGUAUGGAGCAAGCGUUAUCCGGAUUUACUGGGUGUAAAGGGAGCGUAGACGGCAAUGCAAGUCUGAAGUGAAAGCCCGUGGCUUAACUGCGGGACUGCUUUGGAAACUGCAUGGCUAGAGUGUCGGAGAGGUGAGUGGAAUUCCCAGUGUAGCGGUGAAAUGCGUAGAUAUUGGGAGGAACACCGGAGGCGAAGGCGGCUCACUGGACGAUUACUGACGUUGAGGCUCGAAAGCGUGGGGAGCAAACAGGAUUAGAUACCCUGGUA
Molecule: ribosomal RNA, 434 nt
Filed under: uncultured Lachnospiraceae bacterium
Lineage: Bacteria; Bacillati; Bacillota; Clostridia; Lachnospirales; Lachnospiraceae
Description: partial 16S ribosomal RNA
Rfam family: Bacterial small subunit ribosomal RNA
Source: RNAcentral